RNAcentral lists this ribosomal RNA (419 nucleotides) under uncultured Geobacteraceae bacterium. Its description in RNAcentral is "partial 16S ribosomal RNA". It matches the Rfam family "Bacterial small subunit ribosomal RNA", at positions 338 to 749 of the family's 1533-position model. Lineage: Bacteria; Pseudomonadati; Thermodesulfobacteriota; Desulfuromonadia; Geobacterales; Geobacteraceae. The record is from RNAcentral.
CCUACGGGAGGCAGCAGUGGGGAAUUUUGCGCAAUGGGGACAACCCUGACGCAGCAACGCCGCGUGAGUGAUGAAGGCCUUCGGGUCGUAAAGCUCUGUCAGAGGGGAAGAAAUGCAGGUGGUGAGCAACCAUUCUGUUUGACGGUACCCUCAAAGGAAGCACCGGCUAACUCCGUGCCAGCAGCCGCGGUAAUACGGAGGGUGCGAGCGUUGUUCGGAAUUAUUGGGCGUAAAGCGCGUGUAGGCGGUUUGUUAAGUCUGAGGUGAAAGCCCCGGGCUAAACCUGGGAAGGGAAUUGGAGACUGGCAGACUUGAGUACGGGAGAGGAGAGGGGAAUUCCCAGUGUAGGAGUGAAAUCCGUAGAUAUUGGGAGGACCACCGGUGGCGAGGGCGGCUCUCUGGACCGAUACUGACGCGGA